Long non-coding RNA from Carassius auratus (goldfish), 352 nucleotides. RefSeq lists it as uncharacterized. NCBI's taxonomy places the organism in Eukaryota, Metazoa, Chordata, Actinopteri, Cypriniformes, Cyprinidae. The record is from RefSeq and is a predicted model, not a curated record. The transcript has 3 exons.
CCUAAAGCAUGCUUGCUUUGUGAAAUUUCCACUCCUGGAAACGUUCACAUGCAUCUCAUAUAGCAGAGUAUCAUCUGCACGAACCUCACAUGACUCACUGAUGGCAGCAUGUGAUUUUUCUUUUUCAGGUCCCACUGGCAUUUGACUGAAUAUGGUCAUUUCAGUUCAUUUCACUGCAUUUUGUUGCCACACCACACAACCAGUAAAUCUGACCAAUGGCCAUGGAUCUCCAGCAGGGGAUUUGGUUUACCAGGAGCGACUCUCUCGCUUGGAAAGUGACAAAGAAUGUCUAGUGCUCCAGGUAAGUGUUCUGACAGACCAGGUGGAAGUUCAAGGAGAAAAAAUAAAGGAC